UGGGCGUAAAGAGUGCGCAGGCGGUUUUGCAAGACCGAUGUGAAAUCCCCGGGCUUAACCUGGGAACUGCAUUGGUGACUGCAAGGCUAGAGUGUGUCAGAGGGAGGUGGAAUUCCGCAUGUAGCAGUGAAAUGCGUAGAUAUGCGGAGGAACACCGAUGGCGAAGGCAGCCUCCUGGGAUAACACUGACGCUCAUGCACGAAAGCGUGGGGAGCAAACAGGAUUAGAUACCCUGGUAGUCCACGCCCUAAACGAUGUCUACUAGUUGUCGGGGAUUAAUUUCCUUGGUAACGCAGCUAACGCGUGAAGUAGACCGCCUGGGGAGUACGGUCGCAAGAUUAAAACUCAAAGGAAUUGACGGGGACCCGCACAAGCGGUGGAUGAUGUGGAUUAAUUCGAUGCAACGCGAAAAACCUUACCUACGCUUGACAUGUCCGGAACCCUGAAGAGAUUUGGGGGUGCUCGAAAGAGAGCCGGAACACAGGUGCUGCAUGGCUGUCGUCAGCUCGUGUCGUGAGAAG
This 521-nucleotide ribosomal RNA is filed under the name uncultured bacterium. RNAcentral describes it as "bacterial SSU rRNA". It matches the Rfam family "Bacterial small subunit ribosomal RNA", at positions 555 to 1074 of the family's 1533-position model. The record is from RNAcentral.